RNAcentral lists this ribosomal RNA (86 nucleotides) under Kryptolebias marmoratus (mangrove rivulus). Lineage: Eukaryota; Metazoa; Chordata; Actinopteri; Cyprinodontiformes; Rivulidae. The record is from RNAcentral.
CUUUACAAGUUCACUUUACAGAGCUGGGUCGGGCCUGGUUAGUACUUGGACGGGAGACCGCCUGGGAAUACCAGGUGCUGUAAGCU